AGAGUUUGAUCCUGGCUCAGGACGAACGCUGGCGGCGUGCUUAACACAUGCAAGUCGAACGGAAAGGCCCUGCUUUUGUGGGGUGCUCGAGUGGCGAACGGGUGAGUAACACGUGAGUAACCUGCCCUUGACUUUGGGAUAACUUCAGGAAACUGGGGCUAAUACCGGAUAGGAGCUCCUGCUGCAUGGUGGGGGUUGGAAAGUUUCGGCGGUUGGGGAUGGACUCGCGGCUUAUCAGCUUGUUGGUGGGGUAGUGGCUUACCAAGGCUUUGACGGGUAGCCGGCCUGAGAGGGUGACCGGCCACAUUGGGACUGAGAUACGGCCCAGACUCCUACGGGAGGCAGCAGUGGGGAAUAUUGCACAAUGGGCGGAAGCCUGAUGCAGCAACGCCGCGUGCGGGAUGACGGCCUUCGGGUUGUAAACCGCUUUCGCCUGUGACGAAGCGUGAGUGACGGUAAUGGGUAAAGAAGCACCGGCUAACUACGUGCCAGCAGCCGCGGUGAUACGUAGGGUGCGAGCGUUGUCCGGAUUUAUUGGGCGUAAAGGGCUCGUAGGUGGUUGAUCGCGUCGGAAGUGUAAUCUUGGGGCUUAACCCUGAGCGUGCUUUCGAUACGGGUUGACUUGAGGAAGGUAGGGGAGAAUGGAAUUCCUGGUGGAGCGGUGGAAUGCGCAGAUAUCAGGAGGAACACCAGUGGCGAAGGCGGUUCUCUGGGCCUUUCCUGACGCUGAGGAGCGAAAGCGUGGGGAGCGAACAGGCUUAGAUACCCUGGUAGUCCACGCUGUAAACGGUGGGUACUAGGUGUGGGGUCCAUUCCACGGGUUCCGUGCCGUAGCUAACGCUUUAAGUACCCCGCCUGGGGAGUACGGCCGCAAGGCUAAAACUCAAAGGAAUUGACGGGGCCCCGCACAAGCGGCGGAGCAUGCGGAUUAAUUCGAUGCAACGCGUAGAACCUUACCUGGGUUUGACAUGGAUUGGGAGCGCUCAGAGAUGGGUGUGCCUCUUUUGGGGUCGGUUCACAGGUGGUGCAUGGCUGUCGUCAGCUCGUGUCGUGAGAUGUUGGGUUAAGUCCCGCAACGAGCGCAACCCUUGUUCACUGUUGCCAGCACGUUAUGGUGGGGACUCAGUGGAGACCGCCGGGGUCAACUCGGAGGAAGGUGGGGAUGACGUCAAGUCAUCAUGCCCCUUAUGUCCAGGGCUUCACGCAUGCUACAAUGGCUGGUACAGAGAGUGGCGAGCCUGUGAGGGUGAGCGAAUCUCGGAAAGCCGGUCUCAGUUCGGAUUGGGGUCUGCAACUCGACCUCAUGAAGUCGGAGUCGCUAGUAAUCGCAGAUCAGCAACGCUGCGGUGAAUACGUUCCCGGGGCUUGUACACACCGCCCGUCAAGUCAUGAAAGUUGGUAACACCCGAAGCCGGUGGCCUAACCGUUGUGGGGGAGCCGUCGAAGGUGGGACUGGUGAUUAGGACUAAGUCGUAACAAGGUAGCCGUACCGGAAGGUGCGGCUGGAUCACCU
This 1513-nucleotide ribosomal RNA is filed under the name Cutibacterium acnes HL059PA2. RNAcentral's name for it is "16S ribosomal RNA". It matches the Rfam family "Bacterial small subunit ribosomal RNA". Lineage: Bacteria; Bacillati; Actinomycetota; Actinomycetes; Propionibacteriales; Propionibacteriaceae. The record is from RNAcentral.